CUAGUAAAGCAGAAUCCGAGAAUUCAAUCGGCGGCUGUAUGUUGACUGACAAGAAUAUAAUUGCUGUUAAUCCGGCCCUGCUUCUUGUACAAAUGCAUAGUGGGGAGACAUGAACAUUUUUCGAAAUUGCGGCCCUAUCCUCUUGGGAUUUUACGUUGGACAAAUUCUGAAAACGACCCAGAAAUAUAAUUGGAGGUUCAAACCCGUGCGAGGUGAGGUUUGAUAUAUGAAACAGACCAGUCAUGGGGACACGAGAUAUGGAAAGUUUCAGCGUAGUCGUCGCCAAAUCAGGAAUAUUGAGACUUAGACCAGUAUCUUUUUAAGUAGGCAUGUGGGGUAAAGAAGACGCAGAAGCUUCAGUCGGGCACCUUCGGUAACGUAGGCGGUUGAUAUAUUUCCACCACUACAUAUGUUGGAUUGGAAUUUCCCAUUUGAUGCUUUGACUGACUAAAUGAGGAAACUUGGAGGUAAGCUCUUACGGAAUUCUAUCGAGAUAUGUUUAGUAACAUAUUGGUG
Molecule: long non-coding RNA, 516 nt
Organism: Cylas formicarius (sweet potato weevil)
Lineage: Eukaryota; Metazoa; Arthropoda; Insecta; Coleoptera; Brentidae
Exons: 3
Source: RefSeq, a predicted model, not a curated record